GCGGCGGACCACUCCACUCUCUGGCCCGCCGUACAUCAAAAAGGAGGAUAAGCUGUCCCCGGGCUUGGGGUGCGGCAGUGUGGAGACCUGUCGUAAGGCGGCGCGUCCCUUUGCGGGCGGCCGCGAGGGCGUCACGGCGGAGGCCGGGCGUUCAAAGCCGGAACGUAUGGCA
RNAcentral lists this non-coding RNA (172 nucleotides) under bovine gut metagenome. Its description in RNAcentral is "malK-I RNA". It matches the Rfam family "malK-I RNA". The record is from RNAcentral.